Molecule: long non-coding RNA, 828 nt
Filed under: Parus major (Great Tit)
Lineage: Eukaryota; Metazoa; Chordata; Aves; Passeriformes; Paridae
Description: lncRNA (ENSPMJG00000014547.1)
Source: RNAcentral
UGUCGAAACAGCUUUCCAGUGACUGUCACACGCUUCAGCUUGCCCGAAGGUGUCCUGACUUGUUAGGAGAGAGAAGCAGGAGGAAUGGAAGAAGAACAAGCCCAGGGAUCUGAAGCCUCAGCCAUGACUGCUGAACUCAACACAAAGCCACUGACUGAAGGGAAAAGAGACUCAGACAAAGAAUCUAUGUUAAAAGUGAUCAAAAAUUCUGAUGGACAGUUUAACCUUGAGGCUGCAAUUAAAAAUGUUGAUACAAUGGCCAAUGAACUUAAGAAAAUAAAUGUGGAAAGCCAGCUACUGCUUUGUGACCUGAUUUUGAAUUUCAACCAUCCUGUGAAGGCCAAAGAUUUAAGAGAAGCUGAAGAAAAGACUUGGAGUUUGACAGAUUAAGUAACAUCCAUUUUUAUGUAUUGUCUUCUAUUAAUGCUGAUGAAACUGCUGCUUUUUCUUCUUUCUUCUUCAUCUUCCUUCUUUUAAUUAAGUUUGGACUGUUCAAUGAUAGCAUGGUUUCCUGCAGUUAAACUAUUUUUAUUUUAAGCUUAACAUGUGAAAUGGAAAAAAAGAGUAGGUUAUUGGUUCUGAGAGGGGUUUUUCAACCCACAUUUCCCAAAUUAAGCCCACUAGGACUGGAAAGACUGAUGUAAUUAAUUAAAAAGGUUAAGACACUGGGCAUGAAGUUUUUUCAGGUGAUUUUCUCCUUUUAAACAGAGACAUGUUGGAACAGUAACAAAAGAUUUGAAAUUUGCUUCAAGUCACUGCUCUCUUAUCUCAGUUGUGCUCAGAGAAACAGAAAGAAAGAAAUAAACUAUCAGUGAAGGAGGAACUGCA